CAACAGCCUUUCCUACUUCAGGGGCUGGUUUACUUCAUGCACUUUCUGGUUUUUGAGUUUCAGGGCUCUCACCUAGAGAAGCUUUGGGGACGAUGGAGGAUGGAAAACUGGGUAUGAGAAGCUUCAGGAAGAGCCAUGACACCCCCCUUCCCACCCCCAAAUGAGAUAAUCUAAGAGGGAGGACCUGCAUCUCCAUGGCACCUCACUCUGAUUUGCGAGGAUUCGACCAGAGAAAUUGUUCUCAAGAGUGUGAAUUAUGUGGCAGCUUCUAUUUUAUGGUACCUCGCUAUCCACUUUGUAAGAGCACUGUCCUAUGAGCAAAAACUGCAGACAUCUUUGAGCGAUAGAAGAGACAACUGAGCUGGGGGCCAGUUCAGUGUGGACCUACAUUUCAACCACCAUGAUGAAGGUUUGGGACUGUUAUGGUCACAUUUGCUUUUUGCUCUUUAUAAUACUGAGAUAUACUUGUGAG
RNAcentral lists this long non-coding RNA (472 nucleotides) under Macaca nemestrina (pig-tailed macaque). Its description in RNAcentral is "lncRNA (ENSMNEG00000045877.1)". The record is from RNAcentral. Lineage: Eukaryota; Metazoa; Chordata; Mammalia; Primates; Cercopithecidae.